CCGAGGCUGCCUCUGUCCUCACAGCGAGUGCAGUUGCUGUUGGCUGGUUGGAGAGCAUUUGGGUUUCUAGGCUGGUGAGCCACUGCGCUCGGAUCUUUGUGAGUUGUUGAAUCUGAACACAGUGAGUUUUCUUCUACGUUCCUAUGUUUCAGUUUAGAGGUUUCUGUUUUCUGCUUUUAAACUAACUCUUCUAGUUCUUCGUUGAAAUAUGAUUGGGAAAUUUUUUAUUGUCUUUGUUAAUAGUUUUUUGACUUUGCUUUAAAAAUGUCCUAUUUUACAUGUCUCUAUUCCUUUAACUAUAUUGGAACAUUAGUUUACACAACAUGCUCAUUCUCACAAUGAUAUUUCCAUAUACGUACAUGAAGAACUUUGAUCACUUCCCCUCCCUGAUCACACCUUCUAUUGCCUGCCCCUUCCAAGUCCCCCAGUGUUUCCUUUUUUGUUCAUACCCUUACUUUCCAAGUACAGGCCUAGUUAUAUCAAGUCCUCCUAUUCACAGGACUGACUGGCAAUAUUGGAUGGUCUCUUAAGGAAGGGCAGCAAUGUGUCUCUGUGCUUUGGCAGAAAGUUUCCUUCUAGCUGGUUGGUUAUCUUAGGAUCUUCCUGGCAGUUCAUGUUGGAGUCACCACACAUUAAGCCCAAAAUGCCUGGGACACCUGAUAACAAGGAAGAAAAACCUGCUUGGUGUAUUGUUUCAGGCACAGGGCCAUGACCUCUUUUGGGGUCCAGUAUGAGUACUGAGGCUUCAGGGUCUGCUUCUUUGGUGCAGGUACCUCAUGUCAAUUCUGCAACUAUUCUUGGUACUUAUCAUUCUCCUGUUUAUUUACUGUUCCUUCUCUUUCCUCUUUCCUUGAUUAUACCAGUAUUUGGUAACUGGGCAAGACUUAGUAGGAGCUUGCUUGAUGUCCAGAAGCUAGAUAUUACCAAUAGUAUUAAAGUGAAGGCUGUUCAUGAGUUCAAGAGAAAUGUAUGUUACACUCAGUCAAGGUGAAAAUAAGAGUAACCUAGAGCCGAGGGCAGAGAUGAGUAAAUCUGCAGCUGAUCCUCCAGUCUUAGUCUAAAUUCUAUACAAUAAAAACAGGACAUUUUUAUUACAAAACUGAGGAUGAAAUAGCAUACAGAUAUUUCCCAGAAAAUCGGCAAUGGGUUCCUCGGGUUUAGGGAAGGUGGUGGCAUCCCCUAGAAAUUCUCGAUACAGGUAAAUAAGGAUGUUUUUGUAGACAGGUGGGGUCCUGAAGACUGUAAGGUUAGCAGUAUGACCUUAUGUUUGCCCUUUUAUGAAACCAUACUGUCAUAUCUGAAACAUGGUGACUCUGUAACCGCAAUACUGCUGCCCCUGACCUAAUUAGAGACUGGUGAUCGGGAGAUAUAAAAACAUUGUGCUUGCUACAAAACAUUUAUGUUUGAGAUUGUAUAGUUCCCUUUUUUUCUCUUCUCAAUCUGUACAAUUCUGUAUCAUAAGAAAAUGUUGACACAGGAAAAUUGAGAAGCAUUUACCCAACCCCUUAUAAAUUUUGUAACCCAACUUCCUUGUAUGAUUGCAAUAAAUUACUGGGGUUGAGUUAAAUCUAUAUGAACAUUUCUGACUCUUGAGUUCAGAAGCUCUCAUGGCUAAAAAGAACAGCCUGUUAGCAUAUAUAUGUAUAUGUAUAUGUAUAUGUAUAUGUAUAUGUAUAUGUAUAUGUAUAUGUAUAUGUAUAUGUAUAUGUAUAUGUAUAUGUAUAUGUAUAUGUAUAUGUAUAUGUAUAUGUAUAUGUAUAUGUAUAUGUAUAUGUAUAUGUAUAUGUAUAUGUAUAUGUAUAUGUAUAUGUAUAUGUAUAUGUAUAUGUAUAUGUAUAUGUAUAUGUAUAUGAUGUAUAUGUAUAUGAUGUAUAUGUAUAUGUAUAUGUAUAUGUAUAUGUAUAUGUAUAUGUAUAUGUAUAUGCAUAUGAUGUAUAUGUAUAUGUAUAUGUAUAUGAUGUAUAUGUAUAUGUAUAUGUAUAUGUAUAUGUAUAUGUAUAUGUAUAUGAUGUAUAUGUAUAUGUAUAUGUAUAUGAUGUAUAUGUAUAUGUAUAUGUAUAUGUAUAUGUAUAUGUAUAUGUAUAUGUAUAUGUAUAUGAUGUAUAUGUAUAUGUAUAUGUAUAUGUAUAUGUAUAUGAUGUAUAUGUAUAUGUAUAUGUAUAUGUAUAUGUAUAUGUAUAUGUAUAUGUAUAUGUAUAUGAUGUAUAUGUAUAUGUAUAUGUAUAUGUAUAUGUAUAUGUAUAUGUAUAUGUAUAUGAUGUAUAUGUAUAUGAUGUAUAUGUAUAUGUAUAUGUAUAUGUAUAUGUAAAUGUAUGUAUAUUCUCAAUUGUGUGUUUUCUUAUUCGCCUACCAAGUAUCCCUAGUCUGUGACAACCCCAGACUCAUGUCAAGGCUGGACCAUGGUAAGUUCAAAAGUCAUGAUGCCAUGCAAGGGCCAAAGGAAUGAUCAGAUCCCAUUCUGUUCCUGCUAAUUCUGGAAGUGGGCAACUGAAACGACUUUAAGAACAGAAUAAAUGUAAAUCUUUUUUUCUUCCUCCCCCCUAAAUGUAAGUCUUAAGAGGGCCAGAUUUGUGCUUCCUUGAAGAACUUUCCUGGCUGGCACAUACCAUAGUUUGUCCCUCCAACUACUUGGGUCACGGUCAUUCCUUGAGGUAUCUUCUGUCUUAAGGUGGGUGAAUGUUGUACAAAAGCUAGUGAUUUACCAGGCACAGGAGAGGGGUCAAUAAUAAUUUUGAAGCAAAGGAUCAAGCUCAUGCCUUUGAGCUGUGCUGUCCAAAGAACUCAAAGAACAUGUGAAGGAACAAAACCUGCCUAGUGCUGGCAUAGUCUGUCUAGCACUUCACAGACUCCCUUACAAACUCCUGUCCCUUUGGAAAAACAGAGGGGAAUUGUUAGUGUCUCUGGAUCCUGGGCUUUGGGGAGAUGUCUCAGGCCUCAUGGGGAACAUGGGAUGGAUGGUGUCCUCUUCCUCUCAGACCCACAGGUGUUAGUCUCAAACCCUGGGGUACCACGGCAAACAGUAUUUUGUCUUGACUUCCAAUGUAGUAAGUAGCUACCAUCCUUUAGCACCCAUCAAUGUUCGUUUAUAAACUCAAAUAAUACUCAAAUAAUAAUUGAGUACUUUGAGAGUGUAGACCUGAGUUACUACAAAGUUAUCAUAAAGGCUGGGGUCAAAGCAGAACACUGUCCAUCUAGAAACCAAGGAAUACCAGAGCCCAUAACUGAGGGAGAACCAAAAAUCUGGAGCCCAUCCAUCAUUCUCAGGAUUCUGUGUUAACAAGGAAAUUGUUCUUGUUAAAGUUAGAGUGUCAAAAGUUCCACAGAGUGUCAAGUGUUUGAACAUAGUUCCCACCAGGGGGUGCCAUUUGGGAGAAAUUAAGGAUCUUAAGCAGUGGGCCUAACAGGAAGAAGUGGAUCACCGGCAACAUUGGGGACAGAUCUUUGAGUGUAACCAGCUCUCUACUGCCCCACUGACCAAGAUCAUUCUUCCUGUACUUUGAGACAGAAUGUGAGCAAACCCAGUGGGUUGUGCCUAGACACCAUUGGUCCAUUUCCUGCUCUGAUCUCACCAGGAACCAUUGUUGGGAAUGAUAGACACCUGCCCACUUAGAGCUCUAACUGAGGCUGCCUCUUGCCAUUACAGAUUUGAAGCUGUAGGUUGGUUGGAAACCAACUGGAAUUUGAUGCUGUUAAGUGAUUAUACUUGGACUUUGUGAGCUUUGAAUCCUGAAGCAGUUUCUCUCCACUAUGACAAGAGCUUGGUUCUAGUCAAGUCAUGAGAGCCUGAUGAUGCAGCAGGAUCUGAAGGUCUGCUCCUUGAUUGAGGAAAACUUCUCCAUUGGACGAAAGAAACUUUUCAGUGGUGAAACAGACCUUCCAUAUCACCACAUUGACCUCUGUGUCUGUAAAAAUUCUUCGAAACAUCAAGAAGUACACCUCACUGCUCUGCAAGGAUGCCAGGAUUAUGAAAAUCCUUAGCCAUUCUAACAUUAUCAAGCGUUUCAUGUGGUCCAGAGAAGAGCGAUCACUUACAAGGUGAUGGAGUGUGCCUCAGAGGGAGAGCUACUAGAUCUCAUCAUUGAAGGCGGUCUUUAGAGGAGAGCUAGUCUUGGAGACUGUUUGUUCAGAUAGUACAUGCUGUGCAGUACUGCCACAACAAUCACAUUGACCAUUGAGACACAAAGGCCAGCUAUUUUGACUGAUUACAGGGGCAAACCCAAGAUGUCUGAUUUUGGCCUUGCCGCUAAAGUAAUUCCUAGGCAGAAACUGGCAAAUUUCUGUGGCACAUUGCCCUACUGUGCCUCAGAACUCUUGUAAGCAGAGGUGUAAGAGGGCUACCCAGUGGAUAUCUGUAGUUUAAUGGUCCUCCUUUUCCUCAUGUUGUCUGGGAGCCUGCCUUUCUAAGGCAGGUCUUUUGAGGAGGUGAUCCUUGCUGCAAACUUCAGCAUUCCUCCUCAUGUUUCCAUUGAUAUUUUCAAUGUCGUCAUUGAAAUGCUAAUGAUCAAUCCCAGCAAGAGGCUCAACAUUCACCAAAUCAAGACACACCCCAUGAUCAGGGACUGUGAGUCAUGUUUACCACCUACUUCCACACAGGUUUUCCCAGACACUCCAAGCCCUAGCAAUGUCAGGAGCAUGAGAGUCAUUGCAUAUAAGCCUGACAGGAAUAUGUCCUCCUGCACACCUCAGGAGGAGCUCUGUGGAUCCCUGCAGGCACCUAAGAUUUAUACCCUCACAGGCUUCUCCCCUGGGUAUACUUUGGAGAAAGACGCCCUCAUGGAGGAAAAGAACCUCACCCAGGAAGAUGCCAUCAAAUAGGAAAAGGCUCCUUCAGAAUGUCUCCAUCAUUUAGGAAGAGCUCAUUACUGAUGUCCAUCCUCAGGAUGUAGGCUGAACUUGCCCUCAUACCUGGCAACAUCACUGGAUGGGGGUGAGGAAGACAAUCAUGAACUCUCUGAAACCUCUGCUGCUGCUGCCACAACCAAAAAGAAGUCAUCUCCCAUAAGAACCUGGCUCUGAGGAAAGGAGAUCUUGGAGUCAUCUUCAAGACCAGAUUGUGCCAACAUCACUCAAAGCAUGAGGCACAUAGAAACCUGAGUUACAGACAUGGAUGGUCCCUCCAACAAAAUGUCUGCCAUCAUUUUGAACACAAGACCACAAGGGUCCUGGCAUCGUAUUCCUGCUGGGAUUUCUGUUGAAUUCAUCAGCAUGACCCUACAGCAUUCUACUGUUGUAAAACACAAUCUUAUUUAGUACCUUCAUGGUCCACUGAGAAACACUAAACUCUUGUAGGACAGAUAUAUGCACUUACCCCAAUCUGAAAAGAGAUGGGUGUCUUAGUCCACUCUGUGGCAGGAAGAGCACCAUUGGACCCAAUGCUCACCAAUCCACAAUGAACAACUCUGGGAAAGUUUAUUUCACAAGUUCUGUGCUGGCCUUAGCUACUGGAACAGACUGAGAUACUCAGACAAAACCAAGGAGGACUUCUCAGCAACUCUGAUCAGUCUGGCUGGAAUCAUCAUUUUUCCUUGCCAUCCAUGCACUUGAGUCUGAAACCCCUGGCGAGUCCAUGUCUCUCUCUGUGUCUCUGUUCCUGUCCCGUCUUGUACAUGAACAACUUCCAGGCAGGCAGGUCUCGAGUGCUCUUUCAUAAAAUGGACCCCUAGGGAAUUGUGAAACACUGGAGCUGGCCAUAAAUGUCAAACACAAAACACAAACAUAAAAUUUAAAAUCACAAUUGAUGGAAAGAGAUAUAGGAAAUUAAAACCAACAGACAAACAGCUCCAACAACAACAACAACAACAACAACAACAACAGCAGCAGAAACAACAACAACAGCAACAACAACAAGAAAAAUCCAUGAAAAUGUCACUCUUAAUAAUAGACACACAGGGGCUGGAGAGAUGGCUCAGUGGUUAAGAGCACUGACUGCUCUUCCAGAGGUCCUGAGUUAAAAUCCCAGCAACCACAUGGUGGCUCACAACCAUCUGUAAUGGGAUCUGAUGCCCUCUUCUGGUAUGUCUGAAGAUGGCUACAGUGUACUUACAUACAUAAAGUAAAUAAAUAAAAUCUUUAAAAAAUAAUAGACUCACAGAACCAUGCCAAGGGAACAUAUUCCACAUACAACAAAAGAUAGAAAUUGAUUUUUAUUCACUGAUAUGUUCAGAUGUCUGAGGCACACUUCCAUUUUAUAUUCUGACAUUUGGUUCUUUCUACUUUGGUUAGGAAGAAUAGUAUUUCUGCUGUGGUUUUAGUGUUCACAUUAUCUUAUCUAUAACUCAAAUGGAAUGGAACUCAGGACAUAACCCAGAUUGGCUUUUAGUUCCUGUGGAUCCCGCUGCCUCAGUUCCUCCUUAGGUGCACUGUAAUGAUGUUAGCAUUUGUGGUUUACUUAGGGUCUCAUAUGUCCCAACAGGCUACUAUGUAGCCAAACAUGACCUUGAGCAGGAUCCUCAUCUUCCUGUCUCUGUAUUGCCAGUGCAGAGAUAUUAGCUUUGAGCACUCUGUCCUGUCAAGUAUCAAAAGUUCAAGGCCAGUGUAGGUAAGAGUGACUUAUAGGUGGAGUGGUAUCCUGUUUGAAAAGGACAUGCACACUCUAAAUAUGUAGAACUAUCAUAUUUAAUGUCUGGGACUUGGGAGAUGUGUAUGGGUAAAGUGUCACAGUGCAACAAAAGGACCCUGCAAAAACCAGACAUGGGUCCCUAGAGUUGACCCAGUGCCACAGCUCUCUGUGCCUGGAUUCCACUGGCAGAGAGAUGGUCUCCCAGGAGUGCUGACAUACCUGAGAGCUGAGGAACCUGCCUGGAUCCCUCAGGACAGGAGAUGCAGGAAGCAUACUGGGAUGAGAUCCUGGAUUCCCUCUGUGCCUGGAGCUGAUCCUGUGCCAUAUUUCUCUAUACCCAGAUCCCAUGAGGAAAGAGCUAUUCUUCCAAGACAGCUGACACACAGAUUUACAGGAGGGUCAAGCCACUGUCAGAGACAGCAGGACCAGAGAUAUCCAGAUGGCAAGAGGCAAGUGCCAGAACCUAAGCAACAGAAACCAAGGCAACUUGGGAUUUUCAGAAGGCCAGUUCCCACACCACAGCAAGUCCAGGAUACCUCAACACACAGGUAAAGCAAGAUCAUGAUUUAAAAUCACAUCUCAUGAUGAUGGUAGAGGACUUGAAGAAGGACAUAAAUAACUUCCUUAAAUAAAUAAGGACAUGGUUUCUGCCUGUGCCAGGAACUGAACUGAACCAGUCCCACAGCUCCCUGCACCCAAAUCCCCUGGGGGAGAGACCUGGACCCUCAGAAGGGCAGACAUUCCUGAGGCCUCAGGGAAGACAACUACUUCUGCCCACAUCCCUGACCCAAGAGGAACCUGUCUAAGUGCCCUCUGUGCUUUCCGGGCACAGGGACCAAGGAACACUCAGGGGCAGAGACCUUCUGGGAUUCUGCAUAUGCUACGAGCUGAAAGCCAGUCUCCAGGAGCACCUACAAACCUGAGAGUAGAGGUAAGACCAACUUUUCUGUCCAUAGCAACCCAUCUGGGAGGCUUCAGGUCACACAAACCCAGUAGCAGCUCUCUGCUCCCAUAUCCAGCUGAAAGACAACAGGAGUGCUGACACAGGCUUACAGGAGGGUCAAGCCACUGUCAGAGACAGCAAGACAAGCUAACACUAGAGACAACUUGAUGGCAAGAGGCAAGCACAGGAACCUAAGCAACAGAAAACCAGAUUACUUGGCAUCAGUAGAAUCCAAAUCUCUCACCAAAGCAAAUACUGGAUACCCAAACACACUAGAAAAGCAAGAUUUGGAUUUAAAAAAUCAUAUCUCAUGGUGAUGAUAGAGGACUUUAAGAUGGACAUAAAUAACUCUCUUAAAGAAAUAUAGGACAACACAGGUAAACAAGUAGAAUCCCUUAAAGAUGAAGCACAAAAUCCCUUAAAGAAUUACAGUAAAACACAACCAAACAU
Molecule: non-coding RNA, 7952 nt
Organism: Rattus norvegicus (Norway rat)
Lineage: Eukaryota; Metazoa; Chordata; Mammalia; Rodentia; Muridae
Source: RefSeq, a predicted model, not a curated record